UACAGAGGUCUCAAGCGUUGUUCGGAUUCAUUGGGCGUAAAGGGUGCGUAGGUGGCAUGGUAAGUCGGAUGUGAAAUCCCGGGGCUCAACCCCGGAACUGCAUUCGAUACUGCUGCGCUAGAGUACUGGAGAGGAGAUUGGAAUUCCUGGUGUAGCGGUGAAAUGCGCAGAUAUCAGGAGGAACACCGGUGGCGAAGGCGGGUCUCUGGGCCGAUACUGACGCUGAGGAGCGAAAGCGUGGGGAGCGAACAGG
This 253-nucleotide ribosomal RNA is filed under the name uncultured bacterium. RNAcentral's name for it is "partial 16S ribosomal RNA". It matches the Rfam family "Bacterial small subunit ribosomal RNA", at positions 524 to 776 of the family's 1533-position model. The record is from RNAcentral.